UAACACUUAAGAACAUAAGAAAGUUUACAAACAAGAGGAGGACAUUCAGCCCAUCUUGAUCGUUUGGUUGUUAGUGGCUUAUUGAUCCCAGAAUCUCAUCAAGCAGCUUCUUGAAGGAUCCCAGGGUGUCAGCUUCAACAACCUUACUGGGAAGUUGGUUCCAGACCCUCACAAUUAUCUGUUCUGAAUGCCCCUUUAUCUAAUCUCCAUUUGUGUCCCCUGGUCCUUGUUUAUUUUUUUUCAGGUCAAAAAAGUCCUAUGGGUCGACAUUGUCUAUACCUUUUAGGAUUUUGAAUGCUUGAAUCAGAUCACCGUGUAGGCUUCUUGUUCAAGACUGUAAGGGGGAAGUCACCCACUGGUCCAAGGACGGUACCAAUGAUGUGGCUGAAGGUCUCCUACGUGUUCUGUCUUAUAUUGCGCAACAUUAAAUUAUACUUUGAUUAUUUGAUUUGAGUUCCACGUUUUAUUAAUCUUAUCAUUAAUUAUUUUCUUUAUUUCAUCUGACUCCAAUUAUGAUGUAUCUAUGCUCUGAAUUUAAGUUUUGUAUCUUAUUAUUUUUAAAUUCUCUCUUCUAGACUGCAUUUGUUAUUUCAAUGUUAUUUGGGUCCUGUGCUGGCCGGACACAGGUCCUUUAACUACAGAUUAAUCAGUUUCAGAUAUUAGUACGUUUUAGACUAAGUCCUUAUAGAUUCUCAGCUUUAUCUGUUUAGUCUGAUUUGGUUCAUAUAGAUUCUUGACUCACCGUUUAGCCCCAGUCAAUUAAGUUCUGUUUUACAGAUUCUCUGUCCUACUCUUAGUAUUCCCAUUUAAUUCUACUUGGCUAAGUUCUAUUAUAGAUUCUCGGUUUGCCGUUUAGCUUUUUUAGACCAGAUCAACUUGCCCCAUAGGAGACUGUUCCACCUGAUCUUGAUACAGAAUAUGCAUGUGACAUUCGUGUCAUACGCAUGCUGAGGGAGAGGACGCUGGGCAACAGCCCCACCAGAAUAGUAAAGCAGCUGAGGGAGAACCAUGAGGAGGAGUAGCUUGACCGCUUGGCGCACUAUAUGGAGGAGUGUGCGACUUUUAUCAACCACCCUAGCCUCUUACCUGUUGUGUACCAGAAGCUUCCAGAGCCCAUCGACUUCCCGACCAGCAAGUGGCUGCUGUCGGUUUACGGGAGGGACAUUAUCAGCCGUAUAGACCACAUCAAGGCCAGCAUUACCUCCACAUUUGGGACCAUUUUAUAAAUGGACUCCACAAAGCAGAAAGCUGCCGGGUGCAGCCAGGGGGACAGCACAGUGGCUGAUGUCUCUAGGAAAUGAGAUGGGCCAAAUACUUAUCAGUGUCCUGACUGCUCAGGAAGGACCUGGUCUAGACACCAUCGUCUCUGGCCUGACCAACAGGUACAGCUAGGCAGGUGUGGCUCCACCAGUGCUGCUGUACAUGGAUUCUGGCUGCUGCGUAGAGAAGGGGCAGAGCAAGUUACAGGCCAGGUUUGGAGAAUGGCCUGACCUGAUUAUCAGACUGGACAUCUGGCACUUCAUGCGUCAGCUGGCAGUGGGGUGCACCACCGAUGCCCAUCCUCUCUACCCAGCUUUCAUGGCAUGUCACUCUGCAUGCAUCUUUGAGUGGGACCCACGUGAUGUUGCCUUGUUGCACCAACCAAAGAGAGAGCACCUGCAGGAGGAAGGGGUGCCUGUCAUCACCGAUUACGUGGUGAACCGGCGCAUUACCAACACAGCUGGCUCUCUAUUGCCGUCGGAGGACCCAUGGAGUGGAGUCCAUGACCCGCCACAUUGACAAGCUUCUCCAGGAGCUGAAGGGGGAGAAGGGGAGAGAUCUGAUGGUUGUUUCUCUGCUAGACACAGAGAGGAUAGAGCACAUUUGGCGUGUUCAGAUGAAGCAUGUGAAGUGCAUCCAGGAUGUGCAAGGUGUGUCUCUCUACACUAAGACGGGGACCACCACCACCAAGGGAGGGAUAGUUCUCACCAAGUACAGGAACCAGUGCUAACACAUUGAAUUUUCAGUUGUAUCUCCUGGAAGGCCUGAACAGGUGGAACCAGGACCAGGCAGCAGCAUCCCACCAAGCCCUCCUCUCUUCUCACCUAUGCAGGCAAGGUAGUGCAGUCCAUCAACACUAACAGCCUGAAGGUUUUAAGUGAGAAGCUUGUGCCCACCUUCCAACCUCCUGCACAAUACACUGGAGAGCUAAUUUGAGUGGACUAUCUACUUAGUCAGAUAGGGCAACCGCUUCAGGCAAUGGAUGCUGACUCUGAGAACACAGACCAGCUGCUGGAGGAAGUAAAUGUAGAAGAGCAGGAUGAGGGAUUUGAGGAAGACUUUAAUGAGGACCCAACACUGAGUUUCCUCCUCGAAGUUGAAGCUGACUGGACCCCACCCACAGUUCAGCCAGCUGCUAACUUCUCCCAGCCAGCUGCACACUUCUCCCAGCCAGCCGAUGCCUCCAACCAGCCAGCUGCACACUCCACCCAGCCAGCUGCACACUCCUUACAGCCAGCUGCACAGUCCUCCCAGCCAGCCGGUUCCUCAUCCCUGCCAGCUGCACAAUCCAUCCAGCCAUCUGUACAAUCCAUCCAGCCAGCUGCACACUCCACCCAACCUGUUGCUGCCUCCUCCCAGGCAGCUGCAUCCACAGUCCAGUAUGAACCUGGUUCCCCCACUCAGGAGCCUGAGGACUUUUGGCUGUGGAUGAGCAAAAUAUUCCUGGGAUGGACCGGGUGGACAGCCUGGCUGAGUAUUUGGUGGAGCUGAGGACAAAGACAGGGCUAACCCUCAGCAGACAGCAGGUUGAAGACAUUGUGCACCUGUGGCAGAACCUGCUUCAAUAUGACAAGCAACGGGUGGUGUUUGCUGCCAGACACCAGGACAGGCUGACCACUGGGAGGUUCAGGUCUCCAAAAAAGAAGGCUGUUUUCACCCCUGGAGUGGACAGCCUGAAGCGAUGUGUGUUAGGGUCCACAGCUUCGCCUGCCCAAUGGCCAGACUGCUGUCAUCUUGUGGAGGCCAUUUUCAUCAGGCUCUGUUGCAUCCACAAGAGUCCCAGAAAGAAGUGUAAGAGCUAGCUGACGAGGUGGUCUCUUAUAUUGCAGGAUUACUGCAAGAUCCGGCAGCUUAUCCUGGCUAACAGUGCCAUCAUGCAGAGCACCACUCUGCAGCUGGUGGAGGUCAAUCAAACCACUCUGGUCUAGUGGCACAAUGACAGGGUUAAGAAGCAAGACCAGACUCUUCUGCUGCAGGGGAUUGAUCUGCCUGACCCUCUUAGUGUUGCUGCUGAGCCUCUCCCGCCUGCCUGUGUCCGUGCUUUUGCUCCACCCCAGGCCCAACAUGUCUACAACCUGCCAAAGAGCACUGCAGGGAAAGCUAGACUGAAAAGGCAUGCCCCGUGCAAUUCAACUGAGGCUGCCAGACCCAAGCUAACCACCCUGAGGCCACUAAUUCCUCGGCCUGUUGGCUACCUUGAACCAACCCCUGUCCUUCCCAGCUCACCUGUCACCCUUGCCUCCCACACUACCCCCACCUUCACUUUCAUUGUUGUCCCUCAAAACCCUCUUCCUAGACCCCCAGCCAUGUUGAAUUUUAAUCAACAAACCAGUUACGUCCUCCCACCUACUGCCAUGGCUGGUCCAUCUCAAACCACUGUCCCUCGUCCCUACCACAGGAAGGUGGCAAACACCUGCAGGAAGUGUGGCCAGUUUAGAACAGCAGUGACCGUGCACAGACAGUAUAGAGAGAAUAUCUACUGCCCUGCCACAUAGACUCUUACAAAAGAACAGUGGCUUGAAAAAGUGAAAAAAAUAUUUGCACAUCAUUUUAAAUGUUUAUAUAUUUUUGUAAAUAGUCUCUACUAAUAUGUAUAUAGUUUCUCUGCAGUUGUGUCUUUCAUUUCUACUAUUAUUAUCCAUCAGCAGACAUUUUAUGGUUCAUAGAACAGUGACUCCUCUUUGAUUCGUCUUUGACACUGUCCUUUUGCUCCAGUAAUCAUUCUGUGAGCCUGGGUGAAAAUGUUUUAAUAAUAUAUAUAUAUAUAUAUAACACAUAUGGCACAUUUCAAGCAACUUCAUAUUCAUAUGGGUAAUCAAUAAAUAUAAAACAUCUCAUCUCAUACUAUGAAAAGCAGACUUUGUAAUAAGACCAAUAUAGAAACAAGGCAUAAAAGUAUACAAAAUGUAAAAAGUGUUCAUACACUGAAAAAAGUAUGCAUAUAUUUUAUGCAAUUUACAGUGAAAUAUCAUCAUCAAACCACCCAUAAAUGAAUCUGGGUGACGAGUGAUUUACUUUCACUACCAGCAUUUUAUAACAGUACUCAUAUAUAAAGAAAUGACUUAGCUUGCAUUUAAUUAAACAGAAUCAUUAUCAAACUAAACAGAAGUCAAACAAUGUACUUAUCACCAAUAUUUCUGUAGACUAUCAGUAGUAAUUUCAAAGUUUUAUUUAUGUCGGAGGUGGGACUCAAACCAUGGUCCUUCUGUCUCUGUUGUAACGUACAUUUCAAUACAAAGCUGUUUUUUCAGUUAAAUAUGACUAUUAGUCUACCAAAAAAGUAUAAAAGUCGCAGGGGGAAUUUUCGCAUAGUGAAACCAGCAAAGUGGAAGAAAAUCUCAUUCCAAAGCAUUUGCAUUUCUUUACACAUACCAAUGUUUUGACAUUUUGGUUGAACAAUUACAGGACUGACUUGUCAAAUCCUCAAAUGUUACAUCACACAGUGUACAGAAUUGUGGAAAGACAAAUGCCAGAAAAAGAAAUAAAAGUAAAUCUUAGUCCAGCCCUAGUCUUAAGCCCAACCUUUCUUUGGAAGAUCCUAUUGUCAGACACCUGUGAAAUGGGAGGAUUAAUUUCAGGCAUGUACUUUAAAGAUUUAGAAAUAAAUGACAUCACACAGAAGACAAAGAUGUAGGCCUGGCUAGCUCACUUGGUAGCGCAUCAGAUUCUUAAUCUUAGGGUUGUGGGUUUGUGCCCCAUGUUGGGUAUGACUGUUAGAUAUUGUCACAGGUAUGUGGGACUAGUGCAAAUUUAUUCUCCCAUCCAUGCAAACACUCUCUGACUAGAGAGAAUGGCAAUGUUUCUGGAACCUUAUUCAGAAAUUCAGAAUAAGUAACAGGUCUCCAGCUAUCUGCUUCCAAAGAAGUAUCUCUAAAAAUAAGCAGUGUUUAUGUGUUUAACAAACCCCACUAACCGAUAUGUCUCUCCAAGUCUCAUUUCAAACCCUUGUCACGUAUGAGGCACAUGCUAUUGAUUGCCACAUCAUAACCCAGAUGGUGGCUAUUGUUGUGGAAUGUUGAAGAUUCUUUCCCUCUAUGCAAGAAAACUCUCAGAGUCAGGGGUUCCAGAUGUCAAACGUUAGAGUUUAUUGAGUAAACCAACAAACUCGAGAAGGCCAGCUGUCCGUUCUGACUUCCCAUUUACCAGACUCUAAUUUUUAUACAUUUCUGUUGUCUCUUUUGAGCCAAUAAAUCAU
Myxocyprinus asiaticus (Chinese sucker) is the source of this 5455-nucleotide long non-coding RNA. RefSeq lists it as uncharacterized. Lineage: Eukaryota; Metazoa; Chordata; Actinopteri; Cypriniformes; Catostomidae. The transcript is spliced from 7 exons. The record is from RefSeq and is a predicted model, not a curated record.